Molecule: microRNA precursor, 198 nt
Filed under: Genlisea aurea
Lineage: Eukaryota; Viridiplantae; Streptophyta; Magnoliopsida; Lamiales; Lentibulariaceae
Description: MIR159 microRNA precursor family
Rfam family: MIR159 microRNA precursor family
Source: Rfam by way of RNAcentral
UGGGUGGCGAGAGAGCUUCCUUCGGUCCAGUUAUGGCGAGGGCGGGGAUUCGAAUUCGCUGCCGACUCAUUCCGUCAAGGGCAGUAACCAAUCCCACCGUGAGGGAGUUGCUGCCUGUGCGGGAAUGAUGCGGGAGAUGGAUUUCAUCCGGGCGCUUUCUCCGUGCUUGGACUGAAGGGAGCUCCCUCCUUACCCACU